Long non-coding RNA from Helicoverpa zea (corn earworm), 366 nucleotides. RefSeq lists it as uncharacterized. NCBI's taxonomy places the organism in Eukaryota, Metazoa, Arthropoda, Insecta, Lepidoptera, Noctuidae. The record is from RefSeq and is a predicted model, not a curated record. The transcript has 2 exons.
GUGACGCGCGGUGCUCAACUUUAGUCAGCGCCAAGCGCUUACCGAGGAGGGACGUAUCGCUCGCUGUUGCGCCGCGUAAACUCGCCGGAGUUCGAAAAAUAUAGCGCAACCUACGCAUCUAACACGUUUUGAUACUAGAAAAUGAAGAUACAAUACAUGGAAGACGAAUUAUAGAUUUUAGUUUUUUUAUAAAUCAAUUACUUAUACCUAAUUGAUAAACAUGGUGAAAAGUUUGGUUGUCGAUUAAAUAAUUUAAAAAUUGUAAACGAUUAUUUGUUUAUUGUAACUCAAUCGAGCUAUUCUAGGUUAUCAAAUUCAUCAGUACAAAUAAUAUUUCAUAAACUAUAAAACCAAUAAACUAUUUCG